Long non-coding RNA from Coregonus clupeaformis (lake whitefish), 291 nucleotides. RefSeq lists it as uncharacterized. Lineage: Eukaryota; Metazoa; Chordata; Actinopteri; Salmoniformes; Salmonidae. The transcript has 4 exons. The record is from RefSeq and is a predicted model, not a curated record.
ACAAUAAAAGGGGACAAGAACAUAGGGCCUAUCACAGAUGGUUUGGCUUGGCUGAAGCAGCUUCUGGUUGUAGACAUGAGGUCAAGAGCAACGAUUCAAUGGACUUGCACAAUCAUUGUGAUUUUGUUGAUUGUGGAAUCACAAGCUCAAAAGAUUAAACUUAAUCCCAACCGCUGGGGCCCUCAGUCAAUGAUGUAUCUCAAAGGAAAAUAUGGCACAAGAGAUGUACCAGACUAUGAUGACAGUGUUUACAAAUCAGGGUUGAAUGGCUGGUACACACUUAUUAAAGGU